AUUGAACGCUGGUGGAAUGCUUUACACAUGCAAGUCGAACGGCAGCACGGACUUCGGUCUGGUGGCGAGUGGCGAACGGGUGAGUAAUGUAUCGGAACGUGCCCAGUCGUGGGGGAUAACGUAGUGAAAAUUACGCUAAUACCGCAUACGAUCUAUGGAUGAACGCGGGGGAUCGCAAGACCUUGCCACAUUUGAGCGGCCCAUAUCAGAUUAGGUAGUUGGUGGGGUAAAGGCCCACCAAGCCAACGAUCUGUAGCUGGUCUGAGAGGACGACCAGACACACUGGAACUGAGACACGGUCCAGACUCCUACGGGAGGCAGCAGUGGGGAAUUUUGGACAAUGGGCGAAAGCCUGAUCCAGCCAUUCCGCGUGCAGGAUGAAGGCCCUCGGGUUGUAAACUGCUUUUGUACAGAACGAAAAGGUUUCUACUAAUACUAGGAGCUCAUGACGGUACUGUAAGAAUAAGCACCGGCUAACUACGUGCCAGCCGCCGCGGUAA
Molecule: ribosomal RNA, 500 nt
Filed under: uncultured bacterium
Lineage: Bacteria
Description: partial 16S ribosomal RNA
Rfam family: Bacterial small subunit ribosomal RNA
Source: RNAcentral